RNAcentral lists this unclassified non-coding RNA (327 nucleotides) under soil metagenome. Its description in RNAcentral is "partial contains 5.8S ribosomal RNA, internal transcribed spacer 2, and large subunit ribosomal RNA". The stretch from base 1 to 120 matches the Rfam family "5.8S ribosomal RNA", at positions 35 to 154 of the family's 154-position model. The record is from RNAcentral.
GAUGAAGAACGCAGCGAAAUGCGAUAAGUAAUGUGAAUUGCAGAAUUCAGUGAAUCAUCGAAUCUUUGAACGCACAUUGCGCCCCUUGGUAUUCCGGGGGGCAUGCCUGUUCGAGCGUCAUUAUAACCCCUCAAGCUCAGCUUGGUGUUGGGGCCUGCCGACUGGCAGCCCUUAAAAUCAGUGGCGGCGCCAUCUGGCUCUAAGCGUAGUAAUUUCUCUCGCUAUAGAGUCCCGGUGGAUGCUUGCCAGCAACCCCCAACUUUCUAUGGUUGACCUCGGAUCAGGUAGGACUACCCGCUGAACUUAAGCAUAUCAAUAAGCGGAGGA